UUCCUUUAAAUACGCGAUCAGUAGGUGAGAGGCGUUUCAAUUGUUUGGCGUGCUGGUGGUUGCCUGUCGCUGGAAGAGCAAUCAGUUGACUUUAGAUGUUUUCAUGCUGGUUAUUUUGAAUUGAAUGACUGGUAGAGAUUGAAUGACCGACACUGCAUAUUUCAAUCGAUUCUAGAUAUCUUAAAUUCUCAUGCUGGGUAUCUUGGGCUGGAUGAGUGGCAGACGCUGAACCAGUAGCACAGCAUACUGCACGUGAUCGUUGAUCUACGGAAGUAUAUGGUGAUGACUGUAGUUCUUGAAGGGUGUGUGUGAUCAGCUAAAGUUUCAAAGCUCAAUUGAUCACUGUUUUCCCUGCCUUGGAAUAUAUGUAUGUGUGUGUGUGUGUGUAUAUAUCGAGCCAGUUUUGAAGAGAAACUACUUGAUUUCUUGGUAAAUAAAAUUGAAACUGUUU
This is a long non-coding RNA of Onychostoma macrolepis, 451 nucleotides long. RefSeq lists it as uncharacterized. Lineage: Eukaryota; Metazoa; Chordata; Actinopteri; Cypriniformes; Cyprinidae. The record is from RefSeq and is a predicted model, not a curated record. The transcript is spliced from 4 exons.